Long non-coding RNA from Solanum stenotomum, 455 nucleotides. RefSeq lists it as uncharacterized. The record is from RefSeq and is a predicted model, not a curated record. The transcript is spliced from 3 exons. Lineage: Eukaryota; Viridiplantae; Streptophyta; Magnoliopsida; Solanales; Solanaceae.
UUUUUUCCUUCAACUUCAACUUGAGAUUGCUCCUUCAUUUUGAAUCCAAAUUAAGUGAUUCAAAAGGCAAACUUCAAGAGAAUUUCGAGGGGAAUCUAGCGGUGGUCUCAGAAACGCGAGGGGAGGCUUCAUUUGAGUGGGGAAGCAUUUGGAGACCGUUCGGAGAGGAAAAGAUCCGGUACCGUGAGUUGGAGCACGCGUGAUCGGCUUUCAGGUCCGAGCACUAGUAGCCAGCGUUGAUCGAGCUUGGAGUAGACUUAUCCGGAGACGGGGGUGAGCACACGGCGUUUUGUACUAUUUCAGUCUCCAUCUGUAUAUAUAGACUUGUCUUUUUCCUUUCGAGACAGUCCAGUCUCUGUUGUCCAGUUUUGGGACUUGUACUCAUUUAGUAGUAGCUCUGUACUAGUGACUUCCAGGUUCUGGGAGGGAUCUUUAUUUGUAGAUAUGUUUUUGGU